Molecule: ribosomal RNA, 220 nt
Filed under: uncultured bacterium
Lineage: Bacteria
Description: partial 16S ribosomal RNA
Rfam family: Bacterial small subunit ribosomal RNA
Source: RNAcentral
CCGUCUCAGUUCAGAUCGCAGUCUGCAACCCGACUGCGUGAAGUCGGAAUCGCUAGUAAUCGCGGAUCAGCAUGCCGCGGUGAAUACGUUCCCGGGCCUUGUACACACCGCCCGUCACACCAUGAGAGUCGGGAACACCCGAAGUCCGUAGUCUAACCCGCAAGGGAGGGCGCGGCCGAAGGUGGGUCCGGUAAUUGGGGUGAAGUCGUAACAAGGUAAC